This 460-nucleotide ribosomal RNA is filed under the name uncultured bacterium. RNAcentral's name for it is "partial 16S ribosomal RNA". It matches the Rfam family "Bacterial small subunit ribosomal RNA", at positions 338 to 795 of the family's 1533-position model. The record is from RNAcentral.
CCUACGGGGGGCAGCAGUGAGGAAUAUUGGUCAAUGGGCUUACGCCUGAACCAGCCAAGUCGCGUGAGGGAAGACUGCCCUAUGGGUUGUAAACCUCUUUUGUCAGGGAGCAACGCCGGCUACGUGUAGCCGGACUGAGAGUAACUGAAGAAAAAGCAUCGGCUAACUCAGUGCCAGCAGCCGCGGUAAUACGGAGGAUGCGAGCGUUAUCCGGAUUUAUUGGGUUUAAAGGGUGCGUAGGCGGAAUGCCAAGUCAGCGGUAAAAGCGCGGGGCUCAACCUCGCUCCGCCGUUGAAACUGGCGUUCUUGAGUGGGCGAGAAGUAUGCGGAAUGCGUGGUGUAGCGGUGAAAUGCAUAGAUAUCACGCAGAACUCCGAUUGCGAAGGCAGCAUACCGGCGCCCAACUGACGCUGAAGCACGAAAGCGUGGGUAUCGAACAGGAUUAGAUACCCGAGUAGUC